Molecule: ribosomal RNA, 375 nt
Filed under: uncultured Serratia sp.
Lineage: Bacteria; Pseudomonadati; Pseudomonadota; Gammaproteobacteria; Enterobacterales; Yersiniaceae
Description: bacterial SSU rRNA
Rfam family: Bacterial small subunit ribosomal RNA
Source: RNAcentral
UAAUACGAGGGUGCAAGCGUUAAUCGGAAUUACUGGGCGUAAAGCGCACGCAGGCGGUUUGUUAAGUCAGAUGUGAAAUCCCCGGGCUCAACCUGGGAACUGCAUUUGAAACUGGCAAGCUAGAGUCUCGUAGAGGGGGGGUAGAAUUCCAGGUGUAGCGGUGAAAUGCGUAGAGAUCUGGAGGAAUACCGGUGGCGAAGGCGGCCCCCUGGACGAAGACUGACGCUCAGGUGCGAAAGCGUGGGGAGCAAACAGGAUUAGAUACCCUGGUAGUCCACGCUGUAAACGAUGUCGAUUUGGAGGUUGUGCCCUUGAGGCGUGGCUUCCGGAGCUAACGCGUUAAAUCGACCGCCUGGGGAGUACGGCCGCAAGGUU